GCUUGCUUUGGCAAUCCACGUAUUAAAACUGGAAAUAUACAUGGAAGAUUAGUAUGGCCCUUAAGCGAGGACAACCUUGCAAAUUCAUGAAUUGUUUCGUAUUUUU
Oryctolagus cuniculus (rabbit) is the source of this 106-nucleotide small nuclear RNA. NCBI's taxonomy places the organism in Eukaryota, Metazoa, Chordata, Mammalia, Lagomorpha, Leporidae. The record is from Ensembl.